GAGACUGGAGGCUAGGCCAUCGCUGGGCUCAGAGGACAUCGCAGCUGGCUUCUCCUCCAGUCCUGGACUCCCAGGAGACGGCUUCAGAAUGGUCGCCUCUCAGCCUGCUGGUCCCACACACUGCCUGGGGACAUCAGCCCAGGAUGGAUCGAGGUGAACUGGUACCUUCUGCUUCCUCCACAGCCUACCUUUUUCUUUUUCUCAAAAGCCAUGAAAAAGGAGAUAAUGGAGAUGAAUCACCUGGCUUCGGACGGAACAAACAGGCCAUCUGUGACCAGGAGCCCGGGCUGGAAACCCUAGCCUCUCCCUGAUGGAGGGGUUGGCAAGAGUGGGGCAGAGCUGAGUACCAGGCUCCGGUCCAGAUGCCUUGUGAGCUGGCAUACAUCACUGCCUGCCUCUCUCCCUGCCCAGCUUGGAAACCUGGGGGGCCAGGUUCCCAGGCAAGGCCUUUGAAGGGAACCUGGCUCAGUGGGACCUCAGCUUGCCAUUACCCCUUGAUGUCACCCCCUCCUUGCUCAGGCUGUAGAGGGACUGGGGGGAGGCCAGAGGGGUCUGUCUGCACCUUCUGGUGAACUUUAAGAAAGCUCAGAGGUGAACUGGCCCAAGGCCCAGGGGCUGAUGGGAGGUGGUUUGGCUGCUGUCUCCAGAAGAGGAGAGCAGAGAGCGGAAGGGAAGAGAGAGGACUCUAGUGCCCCCGAC
RNAcentral lists this long non-coding RNA (699 nucleotides) under Mus pahari (shrew mouse). RNAcentral describes it as "predicted gene 15458 (MGP_PahariEiJ_G0005225.1)". Lineage: Eukaryota; Metazoa; Chordata; Mammalia; Rodentia; Muridae. The record is from RNAcentral.